RNAcentral lists this ribosomal RNA (406 nucleotides) under uncultured bacterium. RNAcentral's name for it is "partial 16S ribosomal RNA". It matches the Rfam family "Bacterial small subunit ribosomal RNA", at positions 30 to 526 of the family's 1533-position model. The record is from RNAcentral.
AUUGAACGCUGGCGGCAGGCCUAACACAUGCAAGUCGAACGAGUGGCGGACGGGUGAGUAAUGUCUGGGAAACUGCCUGAUGGAGGGGGAUAACUACUGGAAACGGUAGCUAAUACCGCAUACCAUCGGAUGUGCACAGAUGGGCUUGGCUAGUAGGUGGGGUAAAGGCUCACCUAGGCGACGAUCCCUAGCUGGUCUGAGAGGAUGACCAGCCAAACUGGAACUGUGCAACGGUCCAGCCGCCUACGGGAGGCAGCAGUGGGGAAUAUUGCAAAAUGGGGGAAAGCCUGAUGCAGCCAUGCCGCGUGUAUGAAGAAGGCCUUCGGGUUGUAAAGUACUGUCAGCGGGGAGGCGUUACCCGCAGAAGAAGCACCGGCUAACUCCGUGCCAGCCGCCGCGGUAAUUC